UAAAGGGUCCGUAGGCGGUUUAGUAAGUCAGUGGUGAAAGCCCAUCGCUCAACGAUGGAACGGCCAUUGAUACUGCUAGACUUGAAUUACUAGGAAGUAACUAGAAUAUGUAGUGUAGCGGUGAAAUGCUUAGAUAUUACAUGGAAUACCAAUUGCGAAGGCAGGUUACUACUAGUGGAUUGACGCUGAUGGACGAAAGCGUGGGGAGCGAACAGGAUUAGAUACCUAGU
This 230-nucleotide ribosomal RNA is filed under the name uncultured bacterium. Its description in RNAcentral is "partial 16S ribosomal RNA". It matches the Rfam family "Bacterial small subunit ribosomal RNA", at positions 561 to 791 of the family's 1533-position model. The record is from RNAcentral.